Molecule: ribosomal RNA, 301 nt
Filed under: uncultured bacterium
Lineage: Bacteria
Description: partial 16S ribosomal RNA
Rfam family: Bacterial small subunit ribosomal RNA
Source: RNAcentral
CAGCCGCCGCGGGAAAACGAAGGGGGCUAGCGUUGUUCGGAAUUACUGGGCGUAAAGCGCACGUAGGCGGACUUUUAAGUCAGGGGUGAAAUCCCGGGGCUCAACCUCGGAACUGCCUUUGAUACUGGAAGUCUUGAGUGUGGAAGAGGUAAGUGGAAUUGCGAGUGUAGAGGUGAAAUUCGUAGAUAUUCGCAGGAACACCAGUGGCGAAGGCGGCUUACUGGUCCACAACUGACGCUGAGGUGCGAAAGCGUGGGGGGCAAACAGGAUUAGAUACCCCAGUAGUCCCUGUCUCUUAUAC